RNAcentral lists this ribosomal RNA (341 nucleotides) under Nematoda environmental sample. RNAcentral's name for it is "SSU rRNA". It matches the Rfam family "Eukaryotic small subunit ribosomal RNA", at positions 1300 to 1665 of the family's 1831-position model. Lineage: Eukaryota; Metazoa; Nematoda. The record is from RNAcentral.
GGUGGAGCGAUUUGUCUGGUUAAUUCCGAUAACGAACGAGACUCUGGCCUAUUAAAUAGACGGCAUAUUAAAAAGUAUGCCGUACUUCUUAGAGGGACAAGCGGCGUCUAGCCGCAUGAAAUAGAGCAAUAACAGGUCUGUGAUGCCCUUAGAUGUCCGGGGCUGCACGCGCGCUACACUGAAAGAAUCAGCGAGCGAUUCGCCUGGUUCGGAAGAACCGGGUAACCCAAGUAAAUUCUUUCGUGCUUGGGAUAGGGAAUUGCAAUUAUUUCCCUUAAACGAGGAAUUCCCAGUAAAUGCGGGUCAUAAGCUCGCGUUGAAUACGUCCCUGCCCUUUGUAC